RNAcentral lists this transfer RNA (68 nucleotides) under uncultured Dietzia sp. The stretch from base 6 to 65 matches the Rfam family "tRNA", at positions 7 to 64 of the family's 71-position model. From Rfam's summary of the family: Transfer RNA (tRNA) molecules are approximately 80 nucleotides in length. Their secondary structure includes four short double-helical elements and three loops (D, anti-codon, and T loops). Lineage: Bacteria; Bacillati; Actinomycetota; Actinomycetes; Mycobacteriales; Dietziaceae. The record is from RNAcentral.
GGGGCUUAGCUCAGUUGGUAGAGCAUCUGGUUUGCAACCAGAAGGUCAGCGGUUCGAACCCGCUACGC